Molecule: transfer RNA, 72 nt
Filed under: Loxodonta africana (African savanna elephant)
Lineage: Eukaryota; Metazoa; Chordata; Mammalia; Proboscidea; Elephantidae
Rfam family: tRNA
About the family: Transfer RNA (tRNA) molecules are approximately 80 nucleotides in length. Their secondary structure includes four short double-helical elements and three loops (D, anti-codon, and T loops).
Source: Rfam by way of RNAcentral
GGGUCGGUGGGUCAGUGGUAGAAUUCUCACCUUCCAUGUGGGAGACCUGGGUUUCAUUUCCUAGCCAGCUCA